GCCCCGCUUUCCCGGCCCUCGCUCUGGGGGCGAGCCCCCGACCGAGAGCCCGACGACAGCGCACCGGGAACCUCAAAAGGACCUCUUGCUCUCCGCCAUUCACUCCAGAGUUCCUUCAUCCCAGGCCCCUAGUGGGCGCUCAGGCUGGGAGUGACCCCUGAGAGGAAGGAGGAGCGGUGACUCCUGGAACAGCCCGCGAGCGGGGAAGGGCAGGCACCCCUCAACCCAUAAGGAAGGUGGAACCAAAAUGAGUGAAGAUCCAAGAAUGGUGAGACUUGGCAGCUUUGGAAUGAAAGAUCAUUUGGACUGAGAUUCAGUUGCCACAUCAUAAGCAUCUCUGUGGAGAAACUGAGACUUCCAGCCAACAGCCACAUCAAUGACUCAUCUUAGAAGUAGAUCCUCCAGCCCCAGUCAAGCCUUCUGAUGACUGCAGACCCAGAUGACACAACCUCCCAAGAGACACUGAGCCAGAACCACCUCGCUCAGCUGCUCCCCGAUUUCUGACCCUCAGAAAUUGUGUGACAUAAUAAAUGUUUAUUUU
Long non-coding RNA from Diceros bicornis minor, 541 nucleotides. RefSeq lists it as uncharacterized. The record is from RefSeq and is a predicted model, not a curated record. Lineage: Eukaryota; Metazoa; Chordata; Mammalia; Perissodactyla; Rhinocerotidae. The transcript is spliced from 3 exons.